This 497-nucleotide ribosomal RNA is filed under the name uncultured bacterium. Its description in RNAcentral is "partial 16S ribosomal RNA". It matches the Rfam family "Bacterial small subunit ribosomal RNA", at positions 28 to 507 of the family's 1533-position model. The record is from RNAcentral.
GAUGAACGCUGGCGGCGUGCCUAAUACAUGCAAGUCGAGCGAACAGAUGAGGAGCUUGCUCCUCUGACGUUAGCGGCGGACGGGUGAGUAACACGUGGAUAACCUACCUAUAAGACUGGGAUAACUUCGGGAAACCGGAGCUAAUACCGGAUAAUAUAUUGAACCGCAUGGUUCAAUAGUGAAAGACGGUCUUGCUGUCACUUAUAGAUGGAUCCGCGCUGCAUUAGCUAGUUGGUAAGGUAACGGCUUACCAAGGCAACGAUGCAUAGCCGACCUGAGAGGGUGAUCGGCCACACUGGAACUGAGACACGGUCCAGACUCCUACGGGAGGCAGCAGUAGGGAAUCUUCCGCAAUGGGCGAAAGCCUGACGGAGCAACGCCGCGUGAGUGAUGAAGGUCUUCGGAUCGUAAAACUCUGUUAUUAGGGAAGAACAUAUGUGUAAGUAACUAUGCACGUCUUGACGGUACCUAAUCAGAAAGCCACGGCUAACUACGUG